This 1428-nucleotide long non-coding RNA is filed under the name Scophthalmus maximus (turbot). RNAcentral describes it as "lncRNA (ENSSMAG00000024784.1)". Lineage: Eukaryota; Metazoa; Chordata; Actinopteri; Pleuronectiformes; Scophthalmidae. The record is from RNAcentral.
GUAGUUCCUUCCUCACCUCCAUCAUCUAAAGAGAGGAAAAAGUCUCGAAAUGUGCACACGUAAAAUAAAUCCACACAUCACAAACUUUUGAACUUCAACUUCACAGAUGUUAAGCUCAAAUGUUCGCUAUCAAACAGCUUCCUGUGGGUACAAUGUCUAAAACUAUGUGUGACAUUCUUUGUAUUCACUUACAGAUUGGUAAAUGCGUGUGCACGGAUCGCCUGGUACCUACGGAUCAAUUUCACACGUGCGUGUGGACUUUUGAGACUCUCUUCCGCAAAGAUUCACAAAUGUGUCCUUGGAAAACUGGCACAUCUGGGCUUUGGGUGAACUCGUUUAUAUAUAAAAUAAAUGUGACUAUACAUGUAUGCACGUCUGUGUUCAUCACACGCCGGGGGCCGCUGGCGCUGACUCAGGACGACUGAUUGAUGAGGAGGUGAAGGCAAGAGUUUCCUUCCAGGACCGGGGAUAAGCCUUCAGUGUGUGCGCCGCUCUAACGAUGACGAUGAUGAGUUCUGGGAUGUGUCUGGCCACUACUUGACGGAGCGUAAAAGAAGUCGGUAUAUUGGAAGGAGUAAAACUGUAUGGAGCUGCUGGUAUGGAGUCUGACAGCCCGUGAGUUUCGUCAAAGCCCGAUCCCACACGUUAAAAGCCUCUGUCUGUGAAGCCACGCAGUUUUGUGUUUGUGGGCUUCUGAUAUCACGCACAAAGAAUCCAAAAUUUCAUUCCCACAGAUUUUAAUUUCUUUUAACUGAUGCAUUUGAGAUGCUGACUCUGCCACAUCAACGUCAACGCAGAUGAGUGUCUUCGCAGGCUGCGUUGUACAACGAAAUAGGGAGGCCUUGGGUGUUAUUGUGCAAUAUUUAUCAUUUAUAUGCAAAAUAUCGGUGAUAUGAACUUAAUCGUCUUCAAGAAAGUUUUCAGAAAUGUCUCACUGAUUAGCACUCCCUCCUCUGCACUCGCCGUGGAGCAGAUUCAAUGAGACGAAUGAGGCUAUACCCGUCCUUUAUGAUAAAUGAGUUUCUAAUAUUUUAUCCAUUAAUGUCCCUAAACGUCUUGUGUAACCCUUGGCAGAGUGAGAGCAGCACCAAGUGGCUGCAGACAGAACUGCCGUCUCUCCAUCAGAAACUCACAGUAAUGUCUUUGAAGCUUGUAUAACUUUAGAUUUCUAAAAUAAUUCUUGGACAUAAUACCAUGUGGCGUGAUAAACAAAUGACUCUCACUGAAGAGGAUCAGCAGCAGCACGCGAUGAAAUAUCAAAUGAUAUUAAUAUGGAAUCAUUCAGAAGUAUUUCAUGAUAGAUAAAAAAAAGUGGGAGCCAGUAAUAUUUAUAGUUAUAGCAGAUGUUGUUAUGCACAGUGUCAAAAAUAAAACUAUAACUUCAAAACCAUCGCAGUAUAUUACCUAGCAAAUAAAAGACCUCGAAGC